Molecule: long non-coding RNA, 804 nt
Filed under: Androctonus crassicauda
Lineage: Eukaryota; Metazoa; Arthropoda; Arachnida; Scorpiones; Buthidae
Source: RNAcentral
AGCAAUCCGAGCAAGUAUUUCGCGACAGAAUCUUAUCCGACUUUCACAAUCGCGAGGUUUUAACUGCUGUACGAUCUGUAUUUUAUACAGGUGAAACCGUAGCUCCAGGUGUAUUCGUCUCAAACUCCUGUCCGACAUGUUGAGAGACAAAGCAUGGCGCCAUGCAGAACGCCUUGGGCUCCUGGCCAUUGCCCUCUCUACCACAGCAACGUUUUCUGGGGUGCGAACUGUUCUUCUCCCUCCUGGAGGCUUGUUUUUCAGGGUCGAGCCUGUUUCUUCAAAGUUCUGGACCACACUUUUAUGGCAUGAGCUGACGGUACAGGAUCGUGACAACCCAGCUUCUCUUUUCGAUGAAACACUCACCUUGCCACCUCGUAAUUUUUGUUAUUCUGAUAAAAACGCACCACUCCAGUGAUUGACCAGUCCACUGCUCCAUCGUACCUUGAAUGACAUACAUUUAGCUAUGCAAUAACGGUGCAACGCAUUCCCCUACUCUAUCUGCGCAUGCGCAAUUGCAGAUUUCAAAUCGCCCGUUUCCCUGCUGCACCUUGUACAAUUAAGUGCUUGGACAAAGAUUAAUUCUUUAUUAUAGCAAAAUUAAAUUUACAAACUGAAAAACAGAAAUAAAUUAGUUAGCUUGUUAUAGUAAAAAUUCAAAAAUUCAGAUAUAUUUAUUUAGUAUAUACAAGAAGUUCUCAGUUUACAAGUUCACAAAUUUAUAAUCUCUUUCAAAUCUGAAAUAUCAAAAAAUUGAAAAUAUGAACAUUAAUUGCAAUAAAUAAAUGCUAAAUAUUCAUAAAAAUG